CUAGGCUUGCGCUUCAUGCAGGUUCCGGUUGGUUUGUAAUGUCGGGGAUGGUAUAUUGUUUAAAUCAGAUACAGUGUUGUCACGAAUGGCGCCCGUGUUAAAAUGAUCUUGAGUGUUUGCAUUAUAUAUUGGAAUGUUGUUGCGGUGGUCUUGACUGAACGAGACAUUGGCCAACCUCCGCAAUGUCAUGGGGCAGCAUUUCACAUUGGUGUAGAUGAGGUCCCAGCCUUUUACAAGGGAACGACAUUCGGUACCGAUGCAAACAAGGUUUCUACACGACAUCAUUCAGUGGGUCCAUGAAUGAAUGCCAGGACGGACACCGGUGAACUUGCAGUUUACGGGAGCGCAGCAGCGCAGUCGGCAUUUUGCAGGCUACCUUCCCCACUUGCUGUAGCAACCGAUCAUCAUGGAUGAAUGAUUUUAUCGUUUGCUUGCUCAUACGGUAGCCAAAUGAUCACGUCUACAAUUUUAAAUCAAAAUAUUUACUCAUAACUGAGAUAAUUAAGUUUGAAAAAUGCUGCGUUCGAAAAGUCACCAAGUGUAGGACAACUCCAUAUAAUUCCAAUUUAAUUUCAAUUUCAUCAUGCUCGGUGGGAUUUUACACCAGGAAAAUAUAACAUUAGUUAAGAAAACAAUAUGGCUCGUAUGAAUAUUCAUGAGCGCAAUGUUGCACGGCCGGCUGGUCAUUAAGACAUGUAAGUUAACAGGUAAGUAAAGCAGGGUAAUUGUAUUCUAAAACAAAUUGUUAUAUCACAUAGAUUAGACAUUGAACGCAAACAUAAAUUGUUAUAUCACAGAGAUUAGACAUUGAACGCAAACAUAAGGUCAUCGGAAAGUACGGGACAUUCUUAACCAAACCGGUUACAACGAUGUAUGGCUAUUUCUCGAAUCUGUGAACUCUAAUCAAUUUAUCCCAUUACUUCAAAACAGAUUACGAGACCAGUAUAUCACUAACUGGAAUAGAAGUGUCACAUCAUCUAGUUCAAUGAUUUUAUAUAAAGAAUUAAAACCAGUAUUCGAAAAAUCGGCUUAUCUUGAUAUAGUUGAAAAUAAAAACACAGGAAUAGUACAGCUAAAUUACGUUUGUCAUCUCACAAAUUAUUUAUUGAAACGUGUAGACACCAGAACAUUGUUAGAGAUCAACGUAAAUGUAUUUUAUGCAACCUUAAUGAUAUCGAGGAUGAAUAUCACUUUGUUCUUACAUGUCCUUACUAUGCCGAUGUUAGGAAAACAUUAAUUCCAAAGUAUUACAGAUGUCGCCCAAAUAUGUUAAAGUUUAUCGAACUACUUAAUAGUUCAAAGAAAAAUGUGUUGAGAAAACUAGCAAUGUUUUGUUUAAAAGGCUUUGAAAUGCGAGAAAAUGUCUUAUAUAUGUAGUAUAUAUAUUAUAUAUCUUCCAUAAAGCCACUAAGCUUAUAGUAUUGUUAUACUUGUUGCAGUCAUUAAACAACGUUUUUACAUUAUGUGGUCACUCAGUAUUAACCUCUUCCAUGUGACAUUAUCACUUAAACAUGUUGUAUUUAAUUUCUUUUUGAAUCGAUCUUCCUUCGAAAUGAUGUAUGUUUUGUAUUUACUUGUAACGCAUGCUGUUAUUGUAUAUGUAUGUUAACGACGAUGUAGCUGUAUAUGCUUAAGUCAAAUAAAAGAGUCUGUUCUGUUCAGUUUUCUUCUGUUAAUGUGUUUUGUUUUCAAAAUAUUGUUUUACGAUAUACGAUUUUGAGAAUUUUACUUUUUCAGUGGUUUUGUUAUGUUUUAUAGUGUUAUGUUGAUCAAUUAUAAUUAAAAUAACAUGAAGUAUUA
Molecule: long non-coding RNA, 1800 nt
Organism: Dreissena polymorpha
Lineage: Eukaryota; Metazoa; Mollusca; Bivalvia; Myida; Dreissenidae
Exons: 3
Source: RefSeq, a predicted model, not a curated record